AUUGAACGCUGGCGGCAGGCCUAACACAUGCAAGUCGAGCGGUAACAGAACUAGCUUGCUAGUUGCUGACGAGCGGCGGACGGGUGAGUAACGCGUGGGAAUCUGCCUGGUAGUGGGGGACAACAGUCGGAAACGACUGCUAAUACCGCAUACGCCCUUCGGGGGAAAGUGGGGGAUCUUCGGACCUCACGCUAUCAGAUGAGCCCGCGUCGGAUUAGCUUGUUGGUGGGGUAAGAGCUCACCAAGGCGAUGAUCCGUAGCUGGUCUGAGAGGAUG
This 276-nucleotide ribosomal RNA is filed under the name Marinobacterium stanieri. RNAcentral's name for it is "partial 16S ribosomal RNA". It matches the Rfam family "Bacterial small subunit ribosomal RNA", at positions 30 to 302 of the family's 1533-position model. The record is from RNAcentral. Lineage: Bacteria; Pseudomonadati; Pseudomonadota; Gammaproteobacteria; Oceanospirillales; Oceanospirillaceae.